RNAcentral lists this ribosomal RNA (253 nucleotides) under uncultured prokaryote. RNAcentral's name for it is "partial 16S ribosomal RNA". It matches the Rfam family "Bacterial small subunit ribosomal RNA", at positions 524 to 776 of the family's 1533-position model. The record is from RNAcentral.
UACGAGGGGGGCAAGCGUUGUUCGGAAUUAUUGGGCGUAAAGGGCGCGUAGGAGGUGCUGUAAGUCUGUGGUGAAAUCUCUGGGCUCAACUCAGAGUCUGCCAUAGAAACUGCAGUGCUGGAGUGUGGGAGAGGUGAGUGGAAUUCCCGGUGUAGCGGUGAAAUGCGUAGAUAUUGGGAGGAACACCAGUGGCGAAGGCGGCUCACUGGACCGGUUCUGACGCUGAGGCGCGAAAGCGUGGGGAGCAAACGGG